CCUACGGGUGGCAGCAGUGAGGAAUAUUGGUCAAUGGACGCGAGACUGAACCAGCCAAGCCGCGUGAAGGAUGACGGCUCUAUGAGUUGUAAACUUCUUUUGUCAGGGAAUAAAGUCAGGUACGCGUACCUGUUUGAAAGUACCUUACGAAUAAGGAUCGGCUAACUCCGUGCCAGCAGCCGCGGUAAUACGGAGGAUUCAAGCGUUAUCCGGAUUUAUUGGGUUUAAAGGGAGCGUAGACGGUCGGAUAAGUUAGAGGUGAAAGCCCGAGGCUCAACCGUGGAAUUGCCUCUGAUACUGGCAGUCUAGAGAGUAGUUGAGGUAGGCGGAAUGUGUGGUGUAGCGGUGAAAUGCUUAGAUAUCACACAGAACUCCGAUUGCGAAGGCAGCUUACCAAGCUACCACUGACGUUGAGGCACGAAAGCGUGGGUAGCAAACAGGAUUAGAUACCCCGGUAGUC
RNAcentral lists this ribosomal RNA (460 nucleotides) under uncultured bacterium. RNAcentral describes it as "partial 16S ribosomal RNA". It matches the Rfam family "Bacterial small subunit ribosomal RNA", at positions 338 to 795 of the family's 1533-position model. The record is from RNAcentral.